UACGGAGGGUGCUAGCGUUGUUCGGAAUUACUGGGCGUAAAGGGCGCGUAGGCGGCCCUGUCAGUCGGGUGUGAAAGCCCGGGGCUCAACCCCGGAACGGCACCCGAGACGGCAGGGCUGGAGACCGGGAGAGGAGGGUGGAAUAGCCAGUGUAGAGGUGAAAUUCGUAGAUAUUGGCUGGAACACCGGUGGCGAAAGCGGCUCUCUGGCCCGGUUCUGACGCUGAGGCGCGAAAGCGUGGGGAGCAAACAGG
This 253-nucleotide ribosomal RNA is filed under the name uncultured bacterium. RNAcentral describes it as "partial 16S ribosomal RNA". It matches the Rfam family "Bacterial small subunit ribosomal RNA", at positions 524 to 776 of the family's 1533-position model. The record is from RNAcentral.